Episyrphus balteatus (marmalade hoverfly) is the source of this 590-nucleotide long non-coding RNA. RefSeq lists it as uncharacterized. Lineage: Eukaryota; Metazoa; Arthropoda; Insecta; Diptera; Syrphidae. The record is from RefSeq and is a predicted model, not a curated record. The transcript is spliced from 3 exons.
CCCGACGUUUCGACUAGAUUCCACCCGUGACCACGACAAGUGGAAUCUAGUCGAAACGUCGGGAAUAAAUUUUCAAUUAAUUUGAAUAAAAAUAAAAUCGCGAUUGCAUUGGCAACAACAAAGUCAAUUAGCUAACUGUAUGGAAAUCACGGGAUUAAGCAACAUCAACGAUAACAACUCUAAGAGCGUUGCAUUAAAUUUCUUCCAAGAUGCGUUGGGAGUUGAAGUAAAACAGAGUGAUGUAAGCAAAUGUUAUGUCAAGCAAAAGAGAGGCAGAGAAAUGACCGAUCGAAAUAAAGAGAGCAAACCCAUUAUCUUCAUUCAGCUAUUGGAUCUAUCUCUUAAACAUCGAAUUAUGAAGGAGAAAUCGAUACGCAAACAAAGGCUAUACUCUUGGGGGUAGAUAGCAGCAGCACCACCAGCAGUGGAAGGAGGGAAAUCUACAUUAACGAUGCACUCACUAAGUUUACUCAUGCAUUGUUGAUGAAAGCGAAGGCGUUUUCUUUUCGUUCCUCCUGUGCCUCUUGCAGUUCGAUUUGUAUUCGUGGAGAUCCCUUGAACCAAAGCACAUUUUUUUAUGAAAAAAUAAC